AGUGAACGCUGGCGGUAGGCCUAACACAUGCAAGUCGAACGGCAGCACAGAGGAGCUUGCUCCUUGGGUGGCGAGUGGCGGACGGGUGAGGAAUACAUCGGAAUCUACUCUGUCGUGGGGGAUAACGUAGGGAAACUUACGCUAAUACCGCAUACGACCUACGGGUGAAAGCAGGGGAUCUUCGGACCUUGCGCGAUUGAAUGAGCCGAUGUCGGAUUAGCUAGUUGGCGGGGGAAAGGCCCACCAAGGCGACGAUCCGUAGCUGGUAUGAGAGGAUGAUCAGCCACACUGGAACUGAGACACGGUCCAGACUCCUACGGGAGGCAGCAGUGGGGAAUAUUGGACAAUGGGCGCAAGCCUGAUCCAGCCAUACCGCGUGGGUGAAGAAGGCCUUCGGGUUGUAAAGCCCUUUUGUUGGGAAAGAAAUCCAUCUGGUUAAUACCCGGAUGGGAUGACGGUACCCAAAGAAUAAGCACCGGCUAACUUCGUGCCAGCCGCCGCCGUAA
RNAcentral lists this ribosomal RNA (506 nucleotides) under uncultured bacterium. RNAcentral's name for it is "partial 16S ribosomal RNA". It matches the Rfam family "Bacterial small subunit ribosomal RNA", at positions 29 to 523 of the family's 1533-position model. The record is from RNAcentral.